GACGAACGCUGGCGGCGUGCUUAACACAUGCAAGUCGAGCGGUAAGGCUCCUUCGGGAGUACACGAGCGGCGAACGGGUGAGUAACACGUGAGCAAUCUGCCCAUCUCUUUGGAAUAAGCGUUGGAAACGACGUCUAAUGCCGAAUACGACCUCCUUUCGCAUGAUCGGAGGUGGAAAGCUCCGGCGGAGAUGGAUGAGCUCGCGGCCUAUCAGCUAGUUGGNGAGGUAACGGCCACCAAGGCGACGACGGGUAGCCGGCCUGAGAGGGUGACCGGCCACACUGGGACUGAGACACGGCCCAGACUCCUACGGGAGGCAGCAGUGGGGAAUAUUGGACAAUGGGCGAAAGCCUGAUCCAGCAACGCCGCGUGAGGGAUGACGGCC
Molecule: ribosomal RNA, 385 nt
Filed under: uncultured bacterium
Lineage: Bacteria
Description: bacterial SSU rRNA
Rfam family: Bacterial small subunit ribosomal RNA
Source: RNAcentral